RNAcentral lists this ribosomal RNA (370 nucleotides) under uncultured bacterium. RNAcentral's name for it is "bacterial SSU rRNA". It matches the Rfam family "Bacterial small subunit ribosomal RNA", at positions 28 to 391 of the family's 1533-position model. The record is from RNAcentral.
GAUGAACGCUAGCGGCAGGCCUAAUACAUGCAAGCCGAACGGCAAGUCUUUUAGCAAUAGAAGACCUAGAGUGGCGUAAGGGUGCGUAACACGUAUGCAAUCUGCCCUCAACAGGAGGAUAGCUCCCCGAAAGGGGAAUUAAGCCUCCAUAGGAUCGUAAUGUGGCAUCACAUAGCGAUUAAACUACCAGGGGUUGAGGAUGAGCAUGCGCAUGAUUAGUUAGUUGGCGGGGUAACGGCCCACCAAGACGAUGAUCAUUAGGGGAACUGAGAGGUUGAUCCCCCACACUGGCACUGAGAUACGGGCCAGACUCCCUACGGGAGGGCAGCAGUAGGGGAAUAUUGGACAAUGGGUGGCAAGCCUGAUCCAG